AAAAAGACAAACCCUAGAUUUACGUGUCCAACGUUUGACUGUCCGUCUUAUAUGAAAUUUUUUUAUAAUUAGUCUUUUCAUUGUUGUUAGAUAAUAAAACAUGAUUAAUACUUUAUGCGUGACUUGUCUUUUUAAUUUUUUUUAAAUAAGACGGACGGUCAAACAUUGGACACGGAAACCCAGGGCUUAGCUUUAC
This is a microRNA precursor of Oryza sativa Japonica Group (Japanese rice), 196 nucleotides long. It matches the Rfam family "MIR812 microRNA precursor family". The record is from Rfam. Lineage: Eukaryota; Viridiplantae; Streptophyta; Magnoliopsida; Poales; Poaceae.